Molecule: long non-coding RNA, 936 nt
Organism: Micropterus dolomieu (smallmouth bass)
Lineage: Eukaryota; Metazoa; Chordata; Actinopteri; Centrarchiformes; Centrarchidae
Exons: 3
Source: RefSeq, a predicted model, not a curated record
UUAAUACAGACCAAGAACCACACCAGGCUUUUUUCUUCUUUUUUGCAUUAACUGACAACGAAGUGGAACUGUUACUGAAAGUAACACGAGAGUACGAGAGACGGCGACGGAAAACAGACUGGGAGUUGUCGCAAAAUGUUAACCUUGUAGCACAGUUUCCUCAGGUUGGAGAGACGCACAGAGAGAAGAAGCAAUGCAGAGCUCAAUACCUCCACCCUCAGUUUACCCUUGAGUACCCUGUAAGGUAAGAAAACGCCUGUAUUCAUAUCCUAUUUUGAAGUCACAGAACACCAGACCAGAGGGUGUUGGAGAUAAAGGGGGAGACAUUAUCUAAACUUGUACAAAGGUUGAUGUGGAAGCAUUGUAGCCUCACAUAGUUUUAAAGGGAGGAAAAUAGAGGUUUUAGAUAAUCUGAGUUUUAAUAUUGAUGUCACAAACUAACAAAUUAACAUCUUACGUAGAAUUUUGCAGUGUUAAUGAGUGCUGAUUUUUCAGUGACAAUUACAUGGAGUUGACAAGUUGACUGGAGUGUUGUUUGUUCCCUCAUAGAGUUGAUGUGUGGCUCUGGGGCAAAUGUUCAAAACUAGAUGAAGGUCUUAAAAACUGUAGGUGUAUGUUGUAGAUUCAACUAUAUAUUCACAUUUAACACUGUUUGUUUUCAGUUGUUUCAUUUGUUUGUCACUUGAUAAAAUGAAGUUCAACUGAUGAGUUAGAAGUAUAGGCUAUGAACAUGACAAUGACUUUGAUUUCUCCCCAAAGCUUCCUGAAACUACUUGAAACCUCAAAAGGAUAUCUUGACACACACUUGUCACAUUGUAGAAAAAAAGUUUUUAAAAACGGUCUAGCUAUUAGGGUUGGGCCGAUUGACGAUGGCUGACAGACAUCACGAGAGCCGGCAUCGUGAAAAAUUAUUUCACAUUAUACCACUCUGUGAAA